GACGGGCAGCCAGCUCACACUGGACUGGAGAAGGGUGGACCACAUGAACUGUGGGGCUCACUCAGGACUGGCCUGUUCAAGUAAAGAGGCAGGACCAGGGAGGGCAGAGACCACCUUAAACUGCCUGGCCCCCCUUUCCCUCACACCCCCCACCAGUACCAGCACCCCUCCUCCACUCCCAACACACACUCUUCCUUGCCCUAUACCGGUCUCUCCCCAUUUUACCAAGCAGCCGGCCAGACCUCUGUCUUAUUUUCUACUCUGUCCAUAUCAUUUGAGUUUUCCAUGCGUUUCUACCUCAGCCUCUGAAGCUUUUACCGAGUGCCCCAGGUGAGGGUCCAAGUCUCUAUCCACGACUGCAGAAAUUACCUGGGACUUUUUGACAAUUAUUCCUUUUUUGCUACAUUCUUGGAGUUGCCGGUGUGGCUGUUUCUGCGCGCGAUUGAGAGAGGAAGCCUAGUGUUGCUCUUUGCCCUGGGGGUCUGUGUACACCGUUGACCAGAGGAGAAGACUACCUGUCACCAUGGUGAACGUUCAGCUGCUGUUCCUGCUGGCCCUGGCCGGCCCCUUCUGUGCCAUCGCACGCGCAAGCACACUGGUGUCACCAACAGGCCCAGAGCAUGUGACAGAUGCCACUGACGCCCUCGGACAAGGUGCCACCAUCACAGGUGCGCCGCAAGCUGAAACUAUAACUGCAGUUGAUGAGGUCAUGACGGAAAUCGCUCCCACCACAGAAGCUGACACAGAAGUUGCCCCAAAAACUGCCACAGAACCAGCCCCUGAAGCUACUGAAGCUAUUGCCAUGACGAGUGAAGCCCCCGUUGCUCCUACCGACAACACAGAGCAGGAGAUGCCCACAACAAAGAUCCCUGACAUUGUGAAGGAACCCACGGUAGAGAUCAAACACGAGGAGGAGGUGGAGGUAGAAGAGCCAGAGGAGGGCAUUGGCUCUGGACAAGUGGCUGGUAUUGUGAUUGGUGCAUUGGUGGCAGUGAUUAUCGUUAUUGCCGUGGUGAUCGUUGUGGUGAGAAGAAUGGGCAAAUACUCCCCUUGAGGAGAAAAGCUGCAAGACAGGAAUUCUUCAAAAAGUUCUGUCAAUUCUGAACUACUGAACUAUGCUAUUUCCUGUUAUUAAACAAGCAUGCUACCAGCCCUCUACCAUAACCAGGAUCUUGGACUGUUGCCAAGAGGAGAGGGAGGUGUGUGGGUGAGGAUGUUUGACAACCUCCCCAUUUCUCCCCAAAACCCGGACAGAGCCAUUGAUAUCAACGAUCCUGCGAAACCACACAGCAACCCCCCCACACCAACAACCAAAUGGAGAAAGAUGCGACGCACAGGAUGUCACAGUGAAUUGUAGGGUCUUUCGUAUGCUUUCAUUAAAAGAAAGGAUGUAAGGGAUUUUCUCAUUUGCUCUCUUAUGCAGAGGUGUGUAAAUUAACUCAGAUUUGCAUUUUAGGUUGAUGACAAAUAAAACAAACCAAAAAAAGAUCACAAAAAAAACAAAAAAAUAACAAUAAGAGUGGAAAUAUAUAUAAAAAACAAAAAAAGGUGAAUUCAAUAAGGUGUAUAUACCAUGCAAACUGGCUUCAGUUAUUACUUUAUCAUGUGUUGCAUUUGCUCAUAAUGGAAAUCAUUCUAUGGUACAUUGCAAGGCAGCCUUGGGAUAUUGUUGUCAAUGGACCUAACUGUAAAACCAACCUCAUAGUAUUUCCUCACCUUAACACCUAUUACCAAUACUUCACAACCAAAAUGUUCAAGAACCACAGUAACUGAGGCAGUUUUAGCAGAAUUGUGUUCAUGUUCUGAAGGCUAACGAGAGGCUAAUGAAAAUAUACCUCAUUUGCAAGUGUAACGUGACAUUCUACCAGCUUUAACACUGACAUAAAAACCUAAUACGUAUCUGUGAAAUUUAGCAAAGGGGUUUGUGCCACUGUCUCUGGUAUUCCCUAGAUAGUUUGGAGAUUUUACUUUUGAAGCGCAUUAAUUUACAUUUACUGUACUUUAUCUGCCACCCAUUCCAAUAAGACAACUAUAAGUUGUAAGGUGGUCACUAGCUCAAAUUCUGCUAUCAUUGUCCUUUACAAAGUUUCCACCUUAGUGUAACUGGAUGAAGUGUACCACAAAAAGAAACACAGCCCCCCCCCCCCCAAAUGAAUGCAUGCACAGGAUGUUUUGACUUUUUGGUUGUAAUUAGUUUUAGGUGCACAGUUUUGACAGCAAUGUCCAUAUUUUCUUUAUAAUCGUAAGUGGUCAUUAUUGGGUGUAAAAAUAAUUUUAUUUCAGCUUAGCUCUGCUUGCUUUAACAACUCAGUUAUUAAGUGCACUGAAUGAGUGAUGGUUAUAAUUUAAUGAAUUCGCUUUAGACACCGCAAACAUUUGCAACAAAAAAAUUCAGCUUGUGCUUUGUUAUCAACUCUAUGUCUUUAAUUUCACUGUCGGAUUUGUUUGAAUCCUUUUAUUUAAUUGCAGUGUUUUGUUAAUAAUGUUUCAAUAAAAAAAAUGAAAACACUCCAC
Molecule: long non-coding RNA, 2514 nt
Organism: Esox lucius (northern pike)
Lineage: Eukaryota; Metazoa; Chordata; Actinopteri; Esociformes; Esocidae
Source: Ensembl